UGCGGGUACUUGUGACUAUUGCAUUUUGUUCUUCAGUCCUUUGAUGUGAAUGCUUUGAAAGUUUAUCAGUGAACAAGAAAUCACCAAGUCACCAGCACAAAGUGAUCACCAGCUCUCAUCCAGCCCUGAUGUGAGAGACAGGAGAGGAAUCUGCAGAACACCCAGGAAACUGGAAGGCCUCUGAAAUGUUGCCAUUCUGACCCUGUCAACCCCUACAUCCCUGAAAUUCUUUCCAUUCAUUACCUACGUGGGAGACAAUCUUCUCUAAGCUGACACCAGCUUGCUCUGUGGAUGAAAUUUUCAAAUCAAAAUAUCGGGACAAACAUGUGCGUGAGCGAAAACACCACACCUUUUCCUCAAGAAGGAUUCAGCUUUGAUGGAGCUGUUGAUCACUCUCAAAGCAUGUCAUUGUUGCUGGGCAGGGUAGUCACUGCAGUCUAUGACUCAGACCCCCUCACUUGAAGCCACUGCCCAAGAAAGUGAUCAGCCGGGAUCAAAGGGCAACUUUCGAGGGAGGAAAAAUAGAGCAAAUAAAUUGUAUGACUAUGACUCAAUACAUUCUCAUUGCAAUUAGUUUAUUAGCACAAUGCCUGAUAGCACAGCUCUUGUUAAGGGUUUCCACGAGAAAAUGAAUCUCGGUUUAAUUGCCUCAAGCCGGGGGCAUGGGCUCUGGUUGUUUUUUUGUCUGCUCUGAAACUCACCAAACUGAUUAAUUUUGGUAAAAAUAAAUUCAUUUCUGGGCAGACACAGU
This 751-nucleotide long non-coding RNA is filed under the name Ornithorhynchus anatinus (platypus). RNAcentral's name for it is "lncRNA (ENSOANG00000037468.1)". The record is from RNAcentral. Lineage: Eukaryota; Metazoa; Chordata; Mammalia; Monotremata; Ornithorhynchidae.